CAUGCGCGACAUUGUUUUUUUCCAUCGAUUUUCCAUAAUUUCGUCGUCACGAUUUUCGUCGACGCAAACAGUUUGACAGUUCUCUUCAGUUAAUCUUGUUUGGACUUGAUUUCAACCGAAUUGAACCAGUUGUCGUUGCUGUUGGGCUACUGGAGGAUUUUAGCCGAUUGACAGGUAAGUUGUGUUACUUUUCCGGAAAGUUUCGGCUGGAGUGGCGAACGGCCUAAUCAUAGUCUUAUGUUCUGGAUUUCCAGAUUUCGGUUGUCGUGGCGGUGAAGGACGAAGACGGGACAUAUCGUUAAUCCGGUGGGCCAUGUCCAUGGACUAUGCCGGAGGACGGUAUCGGAAGGAAUCGGUCUGCGAUUGAGAAAGCGGAUUGGUGUUUUGCUUUCCGUGGAAGUUGCAUUCCCAAAGGAAGGAGGGAGAUGGAACAUUCAAGCUCGGGAGUCAAUCACUUUUCCGCGUGAAUAAAAAGGUGGAGGAGGACGGAAUAAUAAACUCCCGCGACGUUUCUAAACAGCCAGAAUUUGUUAAUGGAACCGCUCUGUACAAACAGUUUCCAGAGUGCUUUUUGCUGGACGUCGACCAGCAAGAGGAAAAGGACAAUGAAAAUGCGUUGGUGGUGUUGGACUUCUAGCGGAAUCUCAAAAGCGCCAUUAUCAAAACUCAGUCUUCUUCCUGGAGAUACUUUCGGCCGAGAACAUUCUCCGGGUGAAGGCGAUCGAGGUGGACAAACUUCCCACGGGGCAGCACUAGAACAUUGGAAGGGUAGACAAGCAGAACCUUUCCAAAAGUGGUUGGUCAUCGUCGGACCAAAAGGAGUCGGUUUGUAUUUCCUUCUUGUACAACGGCCAAUCCCGUCAUUAAGCGAAAUUAAGAAAAUUAUGGAUGCAGUGAAAGUGAAUAUUUCAAAAACAAAGUGCCAGGCCAGUGCAAACUAAUAUAAAUGAAUAAACAUAAUCAAAAACAUAAA
Molecule: long non-coding RNA, 973 nt
Organism: Culex quinquefasciatus (southern house mosquito)
Lineage: Eukaryota; Metazoa; Arthropoda; Insecta; Diptera; Culicidae
Exons: 2
Source: RefSeq, a predicted model, not a curated record